AUGUGGAAGAUGUUUAAUGUUUAAGUUGUUGAUGCUUCACAUUAAUAUUGUUAUGUUAUGAAUUGAAAUUGAUAUAUUGAUAUCUCUCUGUUGUUGUGUGACUUGACUGUGCUACUGCUGUUAUUUAACUAAGUACAUGAAGUCUAUAAAUAUGAUGAAAUGAUGACGUUUAGCUCCAAAUUAUUGGAUGCAUGUUGAAUACGAUGAUUACGGUGUUUUGUUGAUAAGAGUCCAUGCAUAGCAUAUCAUUGAGCUUAGUCCUCACCACGAUUUUUUAGGAGCUUUGUCCUCCGCAC
Molecule: long non-coding RNA, 296 nt
Filed under: Medicago truncatula (barrel medic)
Lineage: Eukaryota; Viridiplantae; Streptophyta; Magnoliopsida; Fabales; Fabaceae
Description: long non-coding RNA (MTRU_LNC006986)
Source: RNAcentral